This is a long non-coding RNA of Engraulis encrasicolus (European anchovy), 542 nucleotides long. RefSeq lists it as uncharacterized. The record is from RefSeq and is a predicted model, not a curated record. The transcript is spliced from 4 exons. Lineage: Eukaryota; Metazoa; Chordata; Actinopteri; Clupeiformes; Engraulidae.
UUGCUUUCCUUUACCAAAGAGUCUCUCUAGCGGUAAGCAAAAUGGCUCAACCGGCAAGUCUCAUGCUGGCUUUUGGUCUUAUGUAUGCUGCGAUAUUUCACAUCUCAGGCAUUCCUGUAUUUUCCAAUAUCAGGGAAAAUACAGUGGUCUGCACAUAUACCGAUGUAAUGGAGUUGGAAAACAUUGUCUAUAACAGUUCUCUCCUGGAUCCCUCUUCAGGCUACUAUAAGCAAGUAGCAUCUGAGGUUAUGGAUGUGAUCAAUCAAGUAUAUGCCUGCCCUGACUGUCCUACCAAAUCCUUUUUUGAAGCUAAAAAUCCCACAUUCUCACAGCUAACCUUCCCCGGAGAGAAGCCAUCCACAUGGGUACAUGUUCCUAUGAACUUCUACAAUGAAGAGAUCGAUGACGAUGUAGUCCUGUACCUCUUCGGUAACGCCAAUCCUGUAACAACCCUUAAUAUCCUCAACUUUCAAGUGGAUGGGGAUCUAGAUCCAAAAUGUCAGUCAGUGGAUGAUGAAGAGUAAUAAACAUUCUGAGUUAAA